Molecule: ribosomal RNA, 503 nt
Filed under: uncultured bacterium
Lineage: Bacteria
Description: partial 16S ribosomal RNA
Rfam family: Bacterial small subunit ribosomal RNA
Source: RNAcentral
AACGAACGCUGGCGGCACGUUUUAAGCAUGCAAGUCGAAUGGCAGCAGGGGCAACUCUGUGAGAAUGGCGAACGGGUGAGUAACACGUAGGUGAUCUGCCUUGAGGAUGGGGAUAGCCUGUGGAAACACAGGGUAAUACCGAAUGAGCUGACGAGACUUUGGUUUUGUUAGUAAAGGUGCUACGGCACCGCCUUGAGAGGAGCCUGCGGCUGAUUAGCGAGUUGGUGGGGUAAGAGCUUACCAAGGCGACGAACAGUAGCCGGCCUGGGAGGGUGUACGGCCACACUGGAACUGAGACACGGUCCAGACUCCUACGGGAGGCAGCAGCUAAGAAUCUUCCGCAAUGGGCGAAAGCCUGACGGAGCGAUGCCGCGUGAUCGAUGAAGGUCGAGAGAUUGUAAAGAUCUUUUCUACAUGAGGAAUAAGUCUGGGAGGGAAUGCCCGGAUGAUGACGUUAGUGUAGGAAUAAGCCCCGGCUAAUUACGUGCCAGCAGCCGCCGUAA